Daphnia magna is the source of this 382-nucleotide long non-coding RNA. RefSeq lists it as uncharacterized. The transcript is spliced from 2 exons. The record is from RefSeq and is a predicted model, not a curated record. Lineage: Eukaryota; Metazoa; Arthropoda; Branchiopoda; Diplostraca; Daphniidae.
CCUACUUAGUUUUCUCCAGAAGUAAUUUAGAUGUUGAGAAAACAAAGAGAGCCUACAAAGGUCUCAAAGCUGAGUCAAAACAAGCAGUGAACGAUGGGUGGCUGAAACAAUUUAUGGCAAUGUGUUUGUCAUCAGGAGUGGUUUUAGUUCAAGCUAAGGUAACUCCAUCUCAAGCUAUCAACGAUACUCCUCACUCACCAUGGGCUGCAAUUGGUGUUGAUGGUUGUGUAAUAUACGCUCAAGUAUUAACAAGAAAAUACUUAAUACUUCAUGAAAUAUGGUAAAAUGUUACAGAUUAGGAGAAGUCUGUAAUCAUAUUGGAUGUCUUUUACUAGUCAGUGUAUAUUCAGUCGAAAUUCAUGAAAGAAAAGGACGUACCGAG